AGAUUGAACGCUGGCGGCAUGCCUUACACAUGCAAGUCGAACGGUAGAGUAGCAAUACUUGAGAGUGGCGAACGGGUGAGUAAUAUAUCGGAACGUGCCCAGUCGUGGGGGAUAACGUAGAGAAAUUUACGCUAAUACCGCAUACGAUCUAAGGAUGAAAGCGGGGGACUCGCAAGAGCCUCGCGCGAUUGGAGCGGCUGAUAUCAGAUUAGGUUGUUGGUGAGGUAAAAGCUCACCAAGCCGACGAUCUGUAGCUGGUUUGAGAGAACGACCAGCCACACUGGGACUGAGACACGGCCCAGACUCCUACGGGAGCAGCAGGUGGGGAAUUUUGG
This 335-nucleotide ribosomal RNA is filed under the name uncultured soil bacterium. RNAcentral describes it as "bacterial SSU rRNA". It matches the Rfam family "Bacterial small subunit ribosomal RNA", at positions 26 to 367 of the family's 1533-position model. The record is from RNAcentral.